AGAGUUGAUCAUGGCUCAGAACGAACGCUGGCGGCAGGCCUAACACAUGCAAGUCGAGCGCGCCCUUCGGGGUGAGCGGCGGACGGGUUAGUAACGCGUGGGAACGUACCCUUUGGUAGGGAAUAGCCACUGGAAACGGUGAGUAAUACCCUAUGAGCCCUUCGGGGGAAAGAUUUAUCGCCAAAGGAUCGGCCCGCGUUAGAUUAGGUAGUUGGUGGGGUAAUGGCCUACCAAGCCUACGAUCUAUAGCUGGUUUUAGAGGAUGAUCAGCAACACUGGGACUGAGACACGGCCCAGACUCCUACGGGAGGCAGCAGUGGGGAAUCUUGGACAAUGGGGGCAACCCUGAUCCAAGCCAUGCCGCGUGAGUGAAGAAGGCCUUAGGGUCGUAAAGCUCUUUCGCCUGUGAAGAUAAUGACGGUAGCAGGUAAAGAAACCCCGGCUAACUCCGUGCCAGCAGCUGC
RNAcentral lists this ribosomal RNA (464 nucleotides) under uncultured bacterium. RNAcentral describes it as "bacterial SSU rRNA". It matches the Rfam family "Bacterial small subunit ribosomal RNA", at positions 8 to 518 of the family's 1533-position model. The record is from RNAcentral.